GGCAAGAUGACCGAGUGGUUAAGGUAAAUUCGCACUGCCCUCACACGCAAGACGCGUGGGUUCGAAUCCCACUCUUGUCA
RNAcentral lists this transfer RNA (80 nucleotides) under Aspergillus flavus NRRL3357. Its description in RNAcentral is "tRNA-Val (CAC) (tRNA-Val-CAC-3-1)". It matches the Rfam family "tRNA". Rfam says of the family: Transfer RNA (tRNA) molecules are approximately 80 nucleotides in length. Their secondary structure includes four short double-helical elements and three loops (D, anti-codon, and T loops). Further hydrogen bonds mediate the characteristic L-shaped molecular structure. tRNAs have two regions of fundamental functional importance: the anti-codon, which is responsible for specific mRNA codon recognition, and the 3' end, to which the tRNAs corresponding amino acid is attached (by aminoacyl-tRNA synthetases). tRNAs cope with the degeneracy of the genetic code in two manners: having more than one tRNA (with a specific anti-codon) for a particular amino acid; and 'wobble' base-pairing, i.e. permitting non-standard base-pairing at the 3rd anti-codon position. RNAcentral also lists the same sequence under 1 other name. The record is from RNAcentral. Lineage: Eukaryota; Fungi; Ascomycota; Eurotiomycetes; Eurotiales; Aspergillaceae.